RNAcentral lists this ribosomal RNA (497 nucleotides) under uncultured bacterium. RNAcentral describes it as "partial 16S ribosomal RNA". It matches the Rfam family "Bacterial small subunit ribosomal RNA", at positions 28 to 507 of the family's 1533-position model. The record is from RNAcentral.
GAUGAACGCUGGCGGCGUGCCUAAUACAUGCAAGUCGAGCGAACAGAUGAGGAGCUUGCUCCUCUGACGUUAGCGGCGGACGGGUGAGUAACACGUGGAUAACCUACCUAUAAGACUGGGAUAACUUCGGGAAACCGGAGCUAAUACCGGAUAAUAUAUUGAACCGCAUGGUUCAAUAGUGAAAGACGGUUUUGCUGUCACUUAUAGAUGGAUCCGCGCCGCAUUAGCUCGUUGGUAAGGUAACGGCUUACCAAGGCAACGAUGCGUAGCCGACCUGAGAGGGUGAUCGGCCACACUGGAACUGAGACACGGUCCAGACUCCUACGGGAGGCAGCAGUAGGGAAUCUUCCGCAAUGGGCGAAAGCCUGACGGAGCAACGCCGCGUGAGUGAUGAAGGUCUUCGGAUCGUAAAACUCUGUUAUUAGGGAAGAACAAAUGUGUAAGUAACUAUGCACGUCUUGACGGUACCUAAUCAGAAAGCCACGGCUAACUACGUG